AGAUAUCAAGUCGCCUAAGUUCGUCACCCUGUGUUCUUGUUGCUGGAAAGUUUGGUUGGUCUGCCAACAUGGAGAGGCUGAUGAAGGCACAAACUGUUGGCGAUACCUCUAGUUUGGACUUCAUGAGAAGCAGAAGGGUGUUUGAAGUUAACCCGGAGCACCCAAUUAUUAAAAACCUGGAUGCUGCAUACAAGAGUAACCCCAACGAUGAAGAUGCUUUGAGAGCCAUUGAUCUUCUGUAUGAUGCAGCUUUAGUUUCCAGUGGCUUUACGCCUGAAAAUCCAGCCCAGCUUGGUGGCAAGAUAUAUGAGAUGAUGGGUAUGGCACUUUCCGGCAAGUGGUCGGGUGCUCAAUCGCAACCAUUAGAAGCAGAAGUAGUUGAACCGGUCGAAGCUGACAGCCAAAAGUGAGUAUUGGACAUAGGAGGCCGUAUUUAGUAGUACAUGAUGUACGAGAAAUUUU
RNAcentral lists this unclassified non-coding RNA (462 nucleotides) under Hevea brasiliensis (rubber tree). The record is from RNAcentral. Lineage: Eukaryota; Viridiplantae; Streptophyta; Magnoliopsida; Malpighiales; Euphorbiaceae.